This 1050-nucleotide long non-coding RNA is filed under the name Sus scrofa (pig). RNAcentral's name for it is "lncRNA (ENSSSCG00065070880.1)". Lineage: Eukaryota; Metazoa; Chordata; Mammalia; Artiodactyla; Suidae. The record is from RNAcentral.
CUUGAAUGGUCUAUAAAUGAUGAUAAUACUGUUCUCUUAUUGAGUGGGUGUGGCUGUUUUAUUUUUAAGUUUACACUAAGUAAGCCAUGGGAUUUGAUAUAUCAUUUUCUUUUCUUUUCUUUUUUUUUUUUUUUUUUUUUUUUUUACAGAUUCCAAAAGCAUUGCUCAGUUAUAAGAGAAGACGAUUAAAAAAGCCGUGCAGGAGAAUAGAAGAAGCUAAAUAUAUCUCAGCCUCUAACAUCAUGUCAAUGAAAAGUAAAAUUUACCAAUUGGAUAACACACAUGUCUUGCACUGACCACUGUCUAUACUUGGAGUUGGUAGUUUUCAUUGAUCGAAUGCUGCCAAGUCCGUGAUAUUUCUAGCUAUUACCUCCAAUUUCUGGAAGGAAGAAGCCAAACAGUGAAUGUCUUAACAGGAGUAAAUGAAAACAGGUGCCAGGAAAACAGAAAGAUGAAUGUUAAGGUCCUAACAUAUGGCGACUAGAACUACCUUGGGUACCACAUGGUCCUGUGGAACUGGCCCUCCCUGUAUUGGACAUGGAUUUGGCUCAUCCUCCUGAUAAAUGUUCAUGAAAAGCUCUCGACAGAACGCAGCAGGUGUGUCGGGUGGAAUAUUUGCUUUUUUGAAGGGCUGCUGAACUUCCUAUGGAGACGACGAACUACCCACGAGGUGUCUGUGUUACCCACGUAUUUCACCCAAACACAGUCUAAAGAACACCUGGAUAGAACAUUUUACUUCUUACGGAGCUGGAAGAUUAGUUUGAAUCUAUAAUGAGUCUGUUUAUAUCCCCGAAGUAACACUGCGUGGUCUAGUCUGCUUUUAGAAUAUAAAUAAUAACUGCUUCACCAAAGACACCAUCCCUGGGCCCACAGGGAGCCCUUGGGGUCUCAGAAGAGUUGCAAGAUUAGAAUCCCAAGUGAUAACCUGAGAUGGAAUCAGAAAGGUGUUGACAGGCCCUGGAGAGCUGUGUAAGCCCCUUCCCACAUGAUGGGAGUGAGGCGAUCCACUUUCAGAAUAAAAUGUGUGUGUGUGUUUGUGUGUGUGUGUGU